GUCCAGACUCCUACGGGAGGCAGCAGUGGGGGAUAUUGCACAAUGGGGGAAACCCUGAUGCAGCGACGCCGCGUGAAGGAAGAAGUAUUUCGGUAUGUAAACUUCUAUCAGCAGGGAAGAAAGUGACGGUACCUGACUAAGAAGCCCCGGCUAACUACGUGCCAGCAGCCGCGGUAAUACGUAGGGGGCAAGCGUUAUCCGGAUUUACUGGGUGUAAAGGGAGCGUAGGCGGCGAUGCAAGUCAGAAGUGAAAGCCCGGGGCUCAACUCCGGGACUGCUUUUGAAACUGUAUGGCUAGAUUGCAGGAGAGGCAAGUGGAAUUCCUAGUGUAGCGGUGAAAUGCGUAGAUAUUAGGAGGAACACCAGUGGCGAAGGCGGCUUGCUGGACUGUAAAUGACGCUGAGGCUCGAAAGCGUGGGGAGCAAACAGGAUUAGAUACCCUCGUAA
Molecule: ribosomal RNA, 447 nt
Filed under: uncultured bacterium
Lineage: Bacteria
Description: partial 16S ribosomal RNA
Rfam family: Bacterial small subunit ribosomal RNA
Source: RNAcentral